Molecule: ribosomal RNA, 329 nt
Filed under: uncultured eukaryote
Lineage: Eukaryota
Description: partial 18S ribosomal RNA
Rfam family: Eukaryotic small subunit ribosomal RNA
Source: RNAcentral
CCCUUAGAUGUCCUGGGCCGCACGCGCGCUACACUGAGUGUCUGAGAUACGAGUCUGCCUGGUCCGGCAAGGUCUAGGUAAUCGCUAAAAGACACAUAAUGCUUGGGAUAGAUUAUUGCAAAUAUUAAUCUUGAACGAGGAAUUCCUAGUAAGCGCAAGUCAACAGCUUGCGUUUAUUACGUCCCUGCCCUUUGUACACACCGCCCGUCGCUACUACUGAUUGGAUGUUUAAGCGAGGUUCUCGAACUGCUAGCGACUUAGCUUCGGUGAGGUCGCAGUGUGGGAAGUGAACCUAGCUUUGGUGUCUAGAGGAAGUAAAAGUCGUAACA